This 497-nucleotide ribosomal RNA is filed under the name uncultured bacterium. Its description in RNAcentral is "partial 16S ribosomal RNA". It matches the Rfam family "Bacterial small subunit ribosomal RNA", at positions 28 to 507 of the family's 1533-position model. The record is from RNAcentral.
GAUGAACGCUGGCGGCGUGCCUAAUACAUGCAAGUCGAGCGAACAGACGAGGAGCUUGCUCCUCUGACGUUAGCGGCGGACGGGUGAGUAACACGUGGAUAACCUACCUAUAAGACUGGUAUAACUUCGGGAAACCGGAGCUAAUACCGGAUAAUAUAUUGAACCGCAUGGUUCAAUAGUGAAAGACGGUUUUGCUGUCACUUAUAGAUGGAUCCCCGCCGCAUUAGCUAGUUGGUAAGGUAACGGCUUACCAAGGCAACGAUGCGUAGCCGACCUGAGAGGGUGAUCGGCCACCCUGGAACUGAGACACGGUCCAGACUACUACGGUAGGCCGCAGUAGGGAAUCUUCCGCAAUGGGCGAAAGCCUGACGGAGCAACGCCGCGUGAGUGAUGAAGGUCUUCGGAUCGUAAAACUCUGUUAUUAGGGAAGAACAACUGUGUAAGUAACUAUGCCCGUCUUGACGGUAACUAAUCAGAAAGCCCCGGCUAACUACGUG